Molecule: ribosomal RNA, 471 nt
Filed under: uncultured bacterium
Lineage: Bacteria
Description: bacterial SSU rRNA
Rfam family: Bacterial small subunit ribosomal RNA
Source: RNAcentral
ACUCCUACGGGAGGCAGCAGUGGGGAAUAUUGCACAAUGGGCGCAAGCCUGAUGCAGCCAUGCCGCGUGUAUGAAGAAGGCCUUCGGGUUGUAAAGUACUUUCAGCAGUGAGGAAGGUGGAUGCGUUAAUAGCGUAUUCAUUUGACGUUAGCUGCAGAAGAAGCACCGGCUAACUCCGUGCCAGCAGCCGCGGUAAUACGGAGGGUGCGAGCGUUAAUCGGAAUUACUGGGCGUAAAGCGCAUGCAGGUGGUUUGUUAAGUCAGAUGUGAAAGCCCGGGGCUCAACCUCGGAAUUGCAUUUGAAACUGGCAGACUAGAGUACUGUAGAGGGGGUAGAAUUUCAGGUGUAGCGGUGAAAUGCGUAGAGAUCUGAAGGAAUACCGGUGGCGAAGGCGGCCCCCUGGACAGAUACUGACACUCAGAUGCGAAGCGUGGGGAGCAAACAGGAUUAGAUACCCUGGUAGGAUAGCG